Molecule: long non-coding RNA, 559 nt
Organism: Syngnathoides biaculeatus (alligator pipefish)
Lineage: Eukaryota; Metazoa; Chordata; Actinopteri; Syngnathiformes; Syngnathidae
Exons: 3
Source: RefSeq, a predicted model, not a curated record
CACAGACAGCGAGCUUGUGUGGAACAAAGAAAGCCUACCAGCAAAAGGAAUAAAUCACUAACAAACACCUGAAGCAACUAAAAAACUCAAAGGCACCCCUCAGUUUCCGGUCAGAUGCAACUGCUCUCAGCCUCUCUGCACUUCCAGUGGUGAUAGAUGAGCCAGGUGGCACGCUAUCAUCCCAUGGAGGGGGGAAAGAGGCAGAAUUGCUGUUCCAUCAUUUCUGGUGACCUUACAUGCCUGAUUAUGCUGCUGCACAUCCCCUUGCGCCUUCUUUCCACCACCUUCAUUUGCAUAAAUGUGCUUAAUGAUCACAUUCUCUCAAGAAUGCCUGCUGAACACUUCCCCAGUGAGGUGUUCUGUGCAUGUCCCACCAGGAAGAGACCCCGUGGAUGACCCAAGACAUAGUGAAGAGAUUUUGUUCCGUAAACACUUUGUGAACUCCCCAGAAAAGAUGGAUGAAGUCCUGGAUACCAGAAGUGAAUGAAUGGAUUUUUAAAAUGAAAAUGUGAUGGGCUCCACGACUCCCGCUAAGAAAAUGGAUGGAUGGAUGGAUGGA